This 494-nucleotide ribosomal RNA is filed under the name uncultured bacterium. Its description in RNAcentral is "partial 16S ribosomal RNA". It matches the Rfam family "Bacterial small subunit ribosomal RNA", at positions 28 to 507 of the family's 1533-position model. The record is from RNAcentral.
GACGAACGCUGGCGGCGUGCUUAACACAUGCAAGUCGAACGGAAAGGCCUGCUUUCCCUUGUGGAUUGCGGGUACUCGAGUGGCGAACGGGUGAGUAACACGUGAGUGAUCUGCCCCCAACUUGGGUAUAAGCCUGGGAAACUGGGUCUAAUUCCCGAUAGGACUGCAGGGUGGUGCCUGUGGUGGAAAACGAUUUUCUAGUGGUUGGGGAUGAGCUCGCGGCCUAUCAGCUUGUUGGUGGGGUAAUGGCCUACCAAGGCGGGGACGGGUAGCCGGCCGGGGAGGGGGGACGGCCACAUUGGGACUGGGAUACGGCCCAGACUCCUACGGGAGGCAGCAGUGGGGAAUAUUGCACAAUGGGCGGAAGCCUGAUGCAGCGACGCCGCGUGGGGGAUGACGGCCUUCGGGUUGUAAACUCCUUUCGACCGCGAGGAAGCCACCUGGUUGGAAGGGUGGUGACGGUAGUGGUAGAAGAAGCACCGGCUAACUACGUG